Molecule: ribosomal RNA, 838 nt
Filed under: Hyalessa maculaticollis
Lineage: Eukaryota; Metazoa; Arthropoda; Insecta; Hemiptera; Cicadidae
Description: SSU rRNA
Rfam family: Eukaryotic small subunit ribosomal RNA
Source: RNAcentral
GCCAUGCAAGUCUCAGUACAUGCCGCACUAAGGUGAAACCGCAAAAGGCUCAUUAAAUCAGUUAUGGUUCCUUGGAUCUUAAACAGUUACUUGGAUAACUGUGGUAAUUCUAGAGCUAAUACAUGCAAACAAGUCCCGACCAGAGAUGGGAGGGACGCUUUUAUUAGAUCAAAACCGAUCGGCGUCCGGCUCCGGCCGGCGCCGUCUCUUUUGGUGACUCUGGAUAACUUUUAGCCGAUCGCACGGUCACAGUACCGGCGACGCAUCUUUCAAAUGUCUGACUUAUCAACUGUCGAUGGUAGGCUCUGCGCCUACCAUGGUUGUAACGGGUAACGGGGAAUCAGGGUUCGAUUCCGGAGAGGGAGCCUGAGAAACGGCUACCACAUCCAAGGAAGGCAGCAGGCGCGCAAAUUACCCACUCCCGGCACGGGGAGGUAGUGACGAAAAAUAACGAUACGGGACUCAUCCGAGGCCCCGUAAUCGGAAUGAGUACACUUUAAAUACUUUAACGAGUACCAAUUGGAGGGCAAGUCUGGUGCCAGCAGCCGCGGUAAUUCCAGCUCCAAUAGCGUAUAUUAAAGUUGUUGCGGUUAAAAAGCUCGUAGUUGGAUCUGUGUGCCACGCUGUCGGUUCACCGCCUGUCGGUGUCAACUGGCAUGUCUGUGGGACGUCCUGCCGGUGGCGGUACGGGCUGCCGGCGCUGCGUAGGGGCUCGCCCCCGAAGCACGCCGGCGUGUCCCGGUCCGCCGAUCCAAUCCCGCCGCGGUGCUCUUCACUGAGUGUCGAGGUGGGCCGGCACGUUUACUUUGAACAAAUUAGAGUGCUCAAAUCAGGUCGU